This 253-nucleotide ribosomal RNA is filed under the name uncultured bacterium. RNAcentral's name for it is "partial 16S ribosomal RNA". It matches the Rfam family "Bacterial small subunit ribosomal RNA", at positions 524 to 776 of the family's 1533-position model. The record is from RNAcentral.
UACGUAGGGUGCAAGCGUUAAUCGGAAUUACUGGGCGUAAAGCGUGCGCAGGCGGCUAUGUAAGACAGAUGUGAAAUGCCCGGGCUUAACCUGGGAAUGGCCAUGGAAACUGGCGAACUGGAGUGCGGCAGAGGGGGGUGGAAUUCCGCGUGUAGCAGUGAAAUGCGUAGAGAUGCGGAGGAACACCGAUGGCGAAGGCAGCCCCCUGGGCUAGCACUGACGCUCAGGCACGAAAGCGUGGGGAGCAAACAGG